Zonotrichia leucophrys gambelii is the source of this 383-nucleotide long non-coding RNA. RefSeq lists it as uncharacterized. The transcript has 3 exons. Lineage: Eukaryota; Metazoa; Chordata; Aves; Passeriformes; Passerellidae. The record is from RefSeq and is a predicted model, not a curated record.
CUCCUGUUGGUCCAUGGUGCUGCAGGCAAUGCACUUGGGUGCUGGCGACGAGGGGGAUUCUGCUCCUGGCGUUCUUGCCCCUUUAGUACACGUUUUGUUGGAAUUUGUGCAGGAGAAUCAUUCUGCUGCAAAAGUCGCUCUGGAUGAAACCCUGAAAUUCCCAAGCAGGAAAUGACCCUCGCUUCUGGCUGAUGUCCCCACCUGCUGAUGUGCCCAUGUGCUGAUGUCCCCAUGUGCUGAUGUCCCCUGGCCUCGGUGGCUGUGCCGUGCCCAGCUGGGCUGACAGCAGCAGUGGCAGCUGCUCCUGCUGGCUGCUGCUGGGCUGGAGCCCUGUGGUGCCAGCCCUGGUGUCUUUGGGACAGGGGCUGCUUUUCCCACCUUGA